AGAAAAAGAAAAUUCAUCUCCCUACAAACUAUUCUGUCGCCAUCUCCCGUUCAUUGAUUCUGAGGAAGACUACUUAGGAACCACGCAAGGAGACUACUAGUUUGAGUACGUGCGCGUUCAAGGUUGGUAAAGGUACUUGGCUAUGAGUGAGGAGACGCUUAGAAUAACCACCUAGUCAAGAGACAAUUUCCAUUUCAGUCUAAGUUGGAUUUGUUAUUUAUUUUUAUGGGAUUUGGUUGUAAUAUUUUAUUGGCCACCUUUUUGACCACUUAGUUAAUUUUGACUUUAAUGGUUUUAAAUUGUUUUGUUGCUUUGCAUUUAUUUUCUAAGGAGAAUAAAUGUAGCAGUGACACUCCCAAGGUUUGGACGAUGAUUUUA
Spinacia oleracea (spinach) is the source of this 378-nucleotide long non-coding RNA. RefSeq lists it as uncharacterized. The transcript is spliced from 3 exons. The record is from RefSeq and is a predicted model, not a curated record. NCBI's taxonomy places the organism in Eukaryota, Viridiplantae, Streptophyta, Magnoliopsida, Caryophyllales, Amaranthaceae.